GGGGAGUGACGUCAAGUCAGCAUGGCCUUUAUGUCCAGGGCUACACACGUGCUACAAUGGGUGGUACAAAGAGAUGCCAACUCGCGAGAGCGCGCCAAUCUCAGAAAGCCAUCCUCAGUUCGGAUUGGAGUCUGCAACUCGACUCCAUGAAGUUGGAAUCGCUAGUAAUCGCGGAUCAGCACGCCGCGGUGAAUACGUUCCCGGGCCUU
RNAcentral lists this ribosomal RNA (209 nucleotides) under uncultured Smithella sp. RNAcentral's name for it is "partial 16S ribosomal RNA". It matches the Rfam family "Bacterial small subunit ribosomal RNA", at positions 1174 to 1382 of the family's 1533-position model. The record is from RNAcentral. Lineage: Bacteria; Pseudomonadati; Thermodesulfobacteriota; Syntrophia; Syntrophales; Smithellaceae.